UUUGAACGCACAUUGCGCCCAUUAGUAUUCUAUUGGGCAUGCCUGUUCGAGCGUCAUUUUGACCACUUAAGCCUGGCUUAGUGUUGGGAAUCUACGUUUGUAGUUCCUUAAAUCUAGUGGCGGAGCCGCAGUGGCCUCUGAGCGUAGUAAUUUUUUCUCGCUUUGGAAGGUUCUGUAGUUUUUGCCAUAAAACCCCCAAUUUUUUAAGGUUGACCUCGGAUCAGGUAGGAAUACCCGCUGAACUUAAGCAUAUCAAUAAGCGGAGGAAAAGAAACCAACAGGGAUUGCCCUAGUAACGGCGAGUGAAGCGGCAACAGCUCAAAUUUGAAAUCUGGCCCCAGGCCCGAGUUGUAAUUUGUAGAGGAUGCUUUUGGUGCGGUACUUUCCGAGUUCCCUGGAACGGGACGCCUUAGAGGGUGAGAGCCCCGUACGGUUGGAUACCUAGCCUCUGUAAAGCUCCUUCGACGAGUCGAGUAGUUUGGGAAUGCUGCUCAAAAUGGGAGGUAAAUUUCUUCUAAAGCUAAAUACCGGCCAGAGACCGAUAGCGCACAAGUAGAGUGAUCGAAAGAUGAAAAGCACUUUGAAAAGAGGGUUAAAUAGCACGUGAAAUUGUUGAAAGGGAAGGACUUAUGACCAGACUUUUUCUAGGCGGAUCAUCCGGUGUUCUCACCGGUGCACUUCGCCUAGUUAAGGCCAGCAUCGGUUUCCGUAGAGGGAUAAAAGCAGUAGGAAUGUGGCUCCCUCGGGAGUGUUAUAGCCUAUUGUAUAAUACCUUUAUGGGGACCGA
This 787-nucleotide ribosomal RNA is filed under the name Xylariomycetidae sp. ARIZ NC0764. RNAcentral's name for it is "eukaryotic LSU rRNA". The stretch from base 211 to 787 matches the Rfam family "Eukaryotic large subunit ribosomal RNA", at positions 1 to 589 of the family's 3401-position model. Lineage: Eukaryota; Fungi; Ascomycota; Sordariomycetes. The record is from RNAcentral.